RNAcentral lists this ribosomal RNA (401 nucleotides) under uncultured bacterium. Its description in RNAcentral is "bacterial SSU rRNA". It matches the Rfam family "Bacterial small subunit ribosomal RNA", at positions 362 to 758 of the family's 1533-position model. The record is from RNAcentral.
UAUUGCACAAUGGGCGCAAGCCUGAUGCAGCCAUGCCGCGUGUGUGAAGAAGGCCUUCGGGUUGUAAAGCACUUUCAGUCAGGAGGAAAGGUUAGUAGUUAAUACCUGCUAGCUGUGACGUUACUGACAGAAGAAGCACCGGCUAACUCCGUGCCAGCAGCCGCGGUAAUACGGAGGGUGCGAGCGUUAAUCGGAAUUACUGGGCGUAAAGCGUACGCAGGCGGUUUGUUAAGCGAGAUGUGAAAGCCCCGGGCUCAACCUGGGAACUGCAUUUGAACUGGCAAACUAGAGUGUGAUAGAGGGUGGUAGAAUUUCAGGUGUAGCGGUGAAAUGCGUAGAGAUCUGAAGGAAUACCGAGGCGAAGGCAGCCACCUGGGUCAACACUGACGCUCAUUACGAAA